CCUUCGGGUUGUAAACUCCUUUUCUGGGGGAAGAGAAAGGACGGUACCCCAGGAAUAAGUCUCGGCUAACUACGUGCCAGCAGCCGCGGUAAAACGUAGGAGGCAAGCGUUAUCCGGAUUUACUGGGCGUAAAGCGCGUGCAGGCGGUAUUCUAAGUCGGACGUGAAAGCUCCUGGCUCAACUGGGAGAGGUCGUUCGAAACUAGGAAACUUGAGGGUGGUAGAGGAGAGUGGAAUUCCCGGUGUAGUGGUGAAAUGCGUAGAUAUCGGGAGGAACACCAGUGGCGAAGGCGGCUCUCUGGGCCAUUCCUGACGCUAAGACGCGAAAGCUAGGGGAGAGAACGGGAUUAGAAACCCCGGUAUUCCUAGCCGUAAACGAUGUCAACUAGGUGUAGGGGGUAUCCAACCCCCCCUGUGCUGUAGCAAACGCAUUAAGUUGACCGCCUGGGGACUACGGCCGCAAGGCUAAAACUCAAAGGAAUUGACGGGGACCCGCACAAGCAGCGGAGCGUGUGGUUUAAUUCGAGGCUACGCGAAGAACCUUACCAGGGUUUGACAUGGCGGUGGUAGGAAAGUGAAAGCUGACCGACCCUUCGGGGAGCCGUCACAGGUGCUGCAUGGCUGUCGUCAGCUCGUGCCGUGAGGUGUUAGGUUAAGUCCUGUAACGAGCGCAACCCUCGUCGCUAGUUAUACGUGUCUAGCGAGACUGCCGGUGAUAAGCCGGAGGAAGGUGGGGAUGACGUCAAGUCAGCAUGGCCUUUAUAUCCUGGGCUACACACACGCUACAAUGGCCGGUACAAUGGGUCGCGAAGCCGCGAGGCGGAGCCAAUCCUCUAAAGCCGGUCUCAGUUCGGAUUGCAGGCUGCAACUCGCCUGCAUGAAGUCGGAGUUGCUAGUAACCGCGCGUCAGCAAUAGUGCGGUGAAUACGUUCCCGGGUCUUGUACACACCGCCCGUCACGUCAUGGAAGUUGGCAACGCCUGAAGUCAGUGGGCUAACCCUAACGGGAGGCAACUGCCCAAGGCGGGGUCGGUAACUGGGACG
RNAcentral lists this ribosomal RNA (1042 nucleotides) under uncultured bacterium. Its description in RNAcentral is "bacterial SSU rRNA". It matches the Rfam family "Bacterial small subunit ribosomal RNA", at positions 415 to 1482 of the family's 1533-position model. The record is from RNAcentral.